AGAUGCAAGAAUUUUCUCCCACUGUCUUGUCUGAAAGAAAAGUUGGCAAAAGUGACGGCUUUUGUGGAGAUUUCUCCUUAUUGCUCCUUGGUCUUGAAUCUCUCCUGCUUGCAGAAGAGGUGUGCCAACUAAUGCUCUUCCUCUGGUGGACAUGACCAAUCUGUUCAUGCAUUGGGCCUCAACAGUUGUUUUUGGGAACUCUAUGCUACUCUAUACCAUUCUAUACCACAGGUAACAUUUAGGGUCCCUGUGUUGUUUAGAAGCACUAAUUUUAAAAUUAAUUAAGUUGUAAAAAAAAAAGUAAAAGAAUUGUAGUCACUUUGCUUCCUCAAUAACCAUCAGCAUACUCAGCCUCUGGAAACCUGUACUGUGCAUCUCCAUCAACAUUUUUACAAGGUCCUAGCUGAUUUUACCAGAAAAGUGGUGCUAUUGACCCAUUUUAAACUAACAAAACACAUCUACACUCUGAGCUAUAUUCACAUCUGUUAUGUGCAUGUUGUAUUUGUGGACUGUUGCAUUUGCCUAUUUCUCAGUUGCUCAAAAGCUGAUGUAAGAAGCUAAUUGAACACUACUAAAUACAAGAGGCAGGUAUUUACUCUCUUUGAGCUUACUGCUUUUUUUUUUUCAAUAGAGCUGAUCUUUUUUUUAGCUUUGUGAUCACAUAGAGAUGUCUCUUCCUGAUUUCAGUGUGUGGAGAGGGAUUAAUUGCUUGGGAACAGCUCAUGAAAUGGGCUUAACUCUACAGUAUUGAUUUCCUUAUUCAAAGACCCACUUGGAUUCCUCAUACUUUCAUACUAGAAGUAGCUGAAGAUGGUAAUGAGGAAUCUGGCAGUACCUGGCAGUUACUGUUUUGAUUUGGG
This is a long non-coding RNA of Lepidothrix coronata (blue-crowned manakin), 860 nucleotides long. RefSeq lists it as uncharacterized. Lineage: Eukaryota; Metazoa; Chordata; Aves; Passeriformes; Pipridae. The record is from RefSeq and is a predicted model, not a curated record. The transcript has 3 exons.